GGGACUGUGCCCGAAUGUCUAGGGACCACUUUGAUAGAGUGACACAUAGAGGUUAAAAUCCUCUCGGCCCCU
RNAcentral lists this transfer RNA (72 nucleotides) under Puntius sahyadriensis (Khavli barb). RNAcentral describes it as "tRNA-Ile". It matches the Rfam family "tRNA". Rfam says of the family: Transfer RNA (tRNA) molecules are approximately 80 nucleotides in length. The record is from RNAcentral. Lineage: Eukaryota; Metazoa; Chordata; Actinopteri; Cypriniformes; Cyprinidae.